Molecule: long non-coding RNA, 2828 nt
Filed under: Monomorium pharaonis (pharaoh ant)
Lineage: Eukaryota; Metazoa; Arthropoda; Insecta; Hymenoptera; Formicidae
Description: uncharacterized LOC114253935, transcript variant X3
Source: RNAcentral
UUUCAUUAAAUUCUCAUUAAAAUGUUAUCUGUUUUUCAUUAAACGUGUAAAUGCGACAUUAAAUUGUAAAUGCGUUUAGCCGCUUCUGCAUCUUCCAAGUGCAUAAGGGUUUUUCCUUUUUUCUUCCAUCAUCUCGAGGAGUCACGUGAAAAUGUCAUUAUCAUAAGAUGCAGCGGCAUACCGGGCAAAUGAGUAAUUAUGAUGAUAUCGGUAUCUCAUACAUCUCUCUGUAUAUUCCCUGCAAACGAUAUCGCGUGCGUAGAAUACGCGAGCGAGGGAGCGAAUAAGAAUUACGAAUGUUGCAUAUAAAUCACUAUAAAUAACGAGAUAGUGAGAAAGGGCCUUCCCCAAGUUCAAAAGCGCGUAGUCGGAUACGUCAUUUUGUCAGCACGUGUGGAAUCCUAAAUCGAGGAAAUAAUCAUGAAAAGGCGGAACUCGCUGGAAUAUGAAAUCUUUUCAACUCGACUCGCUCACAGUCUCGUCAUACAAAAACAAUGUAGGACUUAGAAUCCAUUCUGUGAUUCAAAGAUUCAAUCUUUGAUCGAGAAUCUAAAGUGACAAUAAGAAUCUGUAAUGCAAAGUAUUGUAAAAUAGAUAAUGUUUUUAGAUACGUAAAUUUUUGAUAUUAGAGAUAUCAGAAAGUAUCAUUUUUAUAAAUAAGUAAACAUUAUGUACUUGUGUUAAUAUAAUUUAUUAUUUAUUCAAUGAUAUAUAAAAUCGCCAUUUAUUUUCUAUAAUAAUGAUUCAAUAUAUAUUAAUUUUUAUUUGCUUUCUUGAAAAAGCUAACAGACUUUGAUUUGAAAAAAUGUACAAGAUGAUUUGAACAUUUGUUUAAUUUUCUUACAAGGCUUUUCCUUGAAAGAAGGAAAUUUGAAAAAAAUGACAGUUCGAUGACGCGAAUAUUAAAUGAGAGAGCAUUUUCUAAAUUAUUUAAUCUUCCUUUAUCCUAAAUUGUUAUAUAUUUUUUGUUGCAUCUGUUUCAUAUCGAGCAUAUUAUGUUACAGAAUUAAAACCGGUUAGUUUUUUCUUCGAAAAAGAAAUUUAAAAAUUAAUAGAUGUACAACCAUAGAAAAUAAUGGCGAUUAUAUUAUUAAUAAAUAAUUAUAUUAUAAAUAAUAAAUUGUAUAUUAACAAAACUCUUAAUAUGUGUUACAUUAUUUGUUACUCGUAUUGGUUUCCCUCAUAUUUUUAAGAUAAAUGACUUUGAGAUGUCUGAAAGUAAAAAAUUAAUCAUAGAUUCUUCAUCAAAAGGCAAUGCGGAUAACCGCGCGUUUUUCUGAGCGGUAGGGCGAUAGGCCACUAGUAUAUAAAACGGCGGUAAGCAUCCAGCAUCUCUCAUUGCGGUAGUGCACUUGUUACAGUUGCUUGCGAUUAAGCAAAAGUGGCUUACUAUAAUAUCCAUGCUCUAGUACAAAUUACCAUUUUGCAGAAGUGAAGCUACGUGAUUUUAAUCAUCUUAUAUUUAAUUGAUACACUAAAAUUUUUUUACCUCAGUUGGAGAACAAAUGACGUUCACUUGAUGGUACUAUAAAUCCUAUACCACCACGAUUGCCAAAAACAUCGAGAGAAACUUACUGAUGUGAGAAAAAUCAUUACAAGACUGUUACAAGAUUAUGAUCAAAGUUUUCAGAAAAUACAAUUAAAAUGAAGUUAAUAAUUUUGCUGUUACUGCUGGUUAAUUCAAUUGUUUGUAUACCUUGGCUCGAUCUAUGGUUUCCUCAGCAGUUUCCGUACGAUCGAAAUACCGGAUAUUAUGCAAACGUACCAUAUCGUCAGAGCAGAGGAGGUGGUAAGGAACGCUGGAAGCAGAUUUGUAGGACUAUAAAUCCGGAUGCAUACGCGUUCCCAGGACGCGUGCCUUAUCCCGCCGCACCUGCCUGUCCUUGGUAAGGAAAACUUCCGAUUGUAUUUUCGAUCUGUUGUGCCAAACAAAGUCGAGCAAGAACGUGUAUCGUGCGUUAAAAAUAUGAAUUUAUUGUAACAACGUAGCUUAGACAAUGUACGUCCACCGGUUACGAGUAUUUCAGUCAAUUUAAUUGCGUGUACGUAUGUGUCUGCAUGUGACAAUACGAGCAAACUAGUAUACAUAACUAUUCGAUUACAUAUAGCUAUUUGCUAUAAAGUACAAAGAGAGGAGAACUGCCGCGUAUUGCAUCUUUCGUACGCAAACUUUAGUGCUCCUCACCCUUUGGUCCAUAUUCGCAUUAAAUUAAAUUAAAAAAACAAAAAGACUACAAAACUUAUAGUGUAAAAAAUAUUCUUUAUAAGAGUGAAAAAAUUGUAUGAUACAAAUAAUCAAAAAUAAAAUUCAAAAAAACAUUUUACAUAAAUUACUUUUUCAGUAGUCUAUGAUCAAAAAUGUUCCACUACAAAGUCACAUAUACAAGUUUUUCUUAUCGUUCAGUUUACCGUUAAGAUUUAAUUUAUAAUGCGCGUACGGACCCGCCAAACAUCUUCUAACUUAAAUACAGUUACUUCACAGGCUUAUCUAUCGAUCUGUACAACAUUGAUAUUCUAAGCCUGUUACAUCUGUCUAAGACAUCAAUAAUACUCUUUUUCUUUUUUCUCUUUUCUUAUGUAUAAAAAUAAGCUAUGUACAUUUUAUAUAUGUAUGUUACAUUAUAAUAUAAAUUUAUGUUAUAAUUCAAGUUUUUAAAAAAAUGCACGCCUUCACAGCGCAAUUGCAAUAAUUGGUAGUGUUAAAUAUUAUGUAUAUUACAUAUUCUAUGUAUAGUCCAGGAUCACAGAGUUCGUACAGCACAGCGGUGAUGUGUGUACGUCGAUGCUUGUAAUUCAAGAAAAUGAUAAAUAUAAUUUUUUACACGUUA